AGCGUCGCAGUCGUGGGUGUUAUGGAUGAUGUGACAUUCGCACUUUCACGGAAACAUAAUUCCGUCCCCCCACUUUUUCCUGAGGUAGUCAUUGAUGAAAUGAAACUGAGUUUCCCAUACAUGAAAAACCUAUUGGUCAAGUUAGAUUAAUUGAACAGCCAUCCAGCCAAACACAGCCAUUUGACCAACCCACCAGGCCAGAGAAGAGUAAACAGUUAAAGUACAGUAAAGUUACGUUUGUGCAUUCAGCAACGGUGCUUCUGUUACUCGCUGCUGGUUGAUGAGAGAAUAACAGAUCAGAGCUUUGAGGAAGACUUCAGAUGAAGAGGAACAGCUUCUUCCCUGUGGCUGUUGGAGAGGAACUGACGCCUGCUGAUACAAAACCUCCUGGACAACUUUUGACAUGAAACACUGGCUGAGAAACAUCCUGAUUCUGACUCUCUGGCUAGAGUGUAAAGGACAAGACAGCGUGACCCAGCCAACAGGAGAUGUCAUUGUUGCUG
Long non-coding RNA from Thunnus maccoyii (southern bluefin tuna), 503 nucleotides. RefSeq lists it as uncharacterized. The record is from RefSeq and is a predicted model, not a curated record. NCBI's taxonomy places the organism in Eukaryota, Metazoa, Chordata, Actinopteri, Scombriformes, Scombridae. The transcript is spliced from 4 exons.